CCACCUCUAAGGUUAUCCGCAUACGUAAUUGGGUGUGCUUUUGUGUAACUGGUUUGGUAACAGGUUUGGUAACAGCAGAUCGACUGUACUACUAAAAGACAUAGUUCAAGCAGCAAUACAUUCCUCUAUCUGGCGACAAAAACAUCAAUUUUCUGAGGAGAAAGAAGAACAGACUCUCGCGCCAUGGUCUGACUGCUGAUCAAAGCCAGCAUCUGGACGGUGAGGAAGAUUCGGGCCCACAUUGCUGAGGGAGAGCAAGCGGAGAAGCCCAUCUUCACACCAUGUGGUGUUAUUGGCUACAAGACCGACCCAUCGUGAAUGCAACUGCGCGCGUCCUUAUCCAAUUCCGAGGCUCAUGUUGAAGGCUUUAAGAAGGAGCAGUUGACAUCAGGUUCUGAUCCACCGGCGGCCGUAAUGACCCCUGAACCUGAUGAUGGUAUCGCUAACGGCGGCCCGGCGGCGUCAGAGACCGCCGUGCAGAAGUGCGGAUCCUGAGGUUAAAGGUCACACUGGAUAACUGGCUGGGACCAAUAAAUUAUUAUUAAGCAUGUCUUGAAAAGGAUGCAUUCACAGAACUGUAUGUCGACAAACGCAGUCUCCUUGUUCGAAAAACUUUUGUACGUUUAUCAGGGAAAUUCUACUUUCCUGAUCUGGACGGUCUAUAAACAACAUUCACUAUUCUGAUACGUCUUCAUUUCUUCUUCAAAAGUGUGGAUUAUGUAUUAUAUUACUAGAUAUAACUGCAUUGUUGGAGCUAGAAACAUAAGAAUUUUGCUGCACCUGCAAAUCUGUACGCGACCAAUAAACUUUGAUAACUUUUUUGUAUAGCCCAACAUACUCUUACUUAACUUUGCUAUCCUUAAUCAAAGCAUUCCCAUAGAAAUUGUCACUACGACCAUAAUGAUGACUAGUUUUGAGACCAAAUUAUGACAUAAGUCAUUCAAUUUACGUUGUGUAGGUUUCUGAACCCAAGUAUGCUAAUACGAUAUCGCAAUAAAAAGUUGAUUAUUUACUGAUCUAUAGAAGAUCUUUAACAGCCCUCCAACUGGAAAAAUGUUUAUGUUGUCAUGCCCUUGCUGUCCCAGCCUCUGUCCAGUGUGCCCAUACUCAGUGGACCAAAUACUAAGCUGAGAUACUUGCUGUAAUUCCAACUUUCAGUCAUUAAGUCAGUGUGAAGUUAUGACAUUUUCAUAUACACUGAUCUCAGGUUAAUAUUGGGUCCAGUGAGCUCUGUUUAACCUCUGACACCAGAUGACCCUUUAUAGCUGCAGCGUGUGACGACCUGCUCACCAACCCCUCCACCCAGGGACUGAGCUGUUCUGAUGCCCCUGCUGCAGCUUCCCUAAUAAAAACUUAAACUAUCUGGUCGACUUGUCUUUUAUUGUGUUGUAGGCAUAUAACUUCCCAGAAUAUCCAUUGUGAGCUAUUAGGUACUACUAUCCUCACUAAUGAACAUUAAAAAUGAUCAAGAAGUGCUAUGAAUCAUAAACAUUUCUUACAUAACUGCAACGUGAAA
This is a long non-coding RNA of Oncorhynchus tshawytscha (Chinook salmon), 1516 nucleotides long. The record is from Ensembl. Lineage: Eukaryota; Metazoa; Chordata; Actinopteri; Salmoniformes; Salmonidae.